CCUCGGGUGCUGCAGUGGGGAAUAUUGGACAAUGGGCGAAAGCCUGAUCCAGCCAUGCCGCGUGUGUGAAGAAGGCCUUCGGGUUGUAAAGCACUUUCAGUGGGGAAGAAAGCCUUGGGGCUAAUACCCUCGAGGAAGGACAUCACCCACAGAAGAAGCACCGGCUAACUCCGUGCCAGCAGCCGCGGUAAUACGGAGGGUGCGAGCGUUAAUCGGAAUUACUGGGCGUAAAGCGCGCGUAGGCGGUCUGAUAAGCCGGUUGUGAAAGCCCCGGGCUCAACCUGGGAACGGCAUCCGGAACUGUCAGGCUAGAGUGCAGGAGAGGAAGGUAGAAUUCCCGGUGUAGCGGUGAAAUGCGUAGAGAUCGGGAGGAAUACCAGUGGCGAAGGCGGCCUUCUGGACUGACACUGACGCUGAGGUGCGAAAGCGUGGGUAGCAAACAGGAUUAGAUACCCUGUAGUC
Molecule: ribosomal RNA, 462 nt
Filed under: Vreelandella stevensii
Lineage: Bacteria; Pseudomonadati; Pseudomonadota; Gammaproteobacteria; Oceanospirillales; Halomonadaceae
Description: partial 16S ribosomal RNA
Rfam family: Bacterial small subunit ribosomal RNA
Source: RNAcentral